RNAcentral lists this ribosomal RNA (253 nucleotides) under uncultured bacterium. RNAcentral's name for it is "partial 16S ribosomal RNA". It matches the Rfam family "Bacterial small subunit ribosomal RNA", at positions 524 to 776 of the family's 1533-position model. The record is from RNAcentral.
UACGUAGGGGGCUAGCGUUGUCCGGAUUUAUUGGGCGUAAAGAGCGUGUAGGCGGCCAGGUAGGUCUGGUGUGAAAACUCGAGGCUUAACCUUGAGAUGUCAUCGGAAACCAUUUGGCUAGAGUCCGGAAGAGGAAAGUGGAAUUCCUGGUGUAGCGGUGAAAUGCGCAGAUAUCAGGAAGAACACCAAUGGCGACAGCAGCUUUCUGGGACGGUACUGACGCUGAGACGCGAAAGCGUGGGGAGCGAACAGG